AUUGAACGCUGGCGGCAGGCCUAACACAUGCAAGUCGAGCGGAUGAAGGGAGCUUGCUCCUGGAUUCAGCGGCGGACGGGUGAGUAAUGCCUAGGAAUCUGCCUGGUAGUGGGGGAUAACGUCCGGAAACGGGCGCUAAUACCGCAUACGUCCUGAGGGAGAAAGUGGGGGAUCUUCGGACCUCACGCUAUCAGAUGAGCCUAGGUUGGAUUAGCUAGUUGGUGGGGUAAAGGCCUACCAAGGCGACGAUCCGUAACUGGUCUGAGAGGAUGAUCAGUCACACUGGAACUGAGAAACGGUCCAGACUCCUACGGGAGGAAGCAGUGGGGAAUAUUGGACAAUGGGCGAAAGCCUGAUCCAGCCAUGCCGCGUGUGUGAAGAAGGUCUUCGGAUGGGAAAGCACUUUAGGUUGGGAGGAAGGGCAGUAAGUUAAUACCUUGCUGUUUUGACGUUACCAACAGAAUAAGCACCGGCUAACUUCGUG
This 484-nucleotide ribosomal RNA is filed under the name uncultured bacterium. RNAcentral's name for it is "partial 16S ribosomal RNA". It matches the Rfam family "Bacterial small subunit ribosomal RNA", at positions 30 to 507 of the family's 1533-position model. The record is from RNAcentral.